This 1286-nucleotide long non-coding RNA is filed under the name Anas zonorhyncha (Eastern spot-billed duck). RNAcentral describes it as "lncRNA (ENSAZOG00000009669.1)". The stretch from base 766 to 836 matches the Rfam family "Small nucleolar RNA SNORD99". Lineage: Eukaryota; Metazoa; Chordata; Aves; Anseriformes; Anatidae. The record is from RNAcentral.
AUUUGGGCCCCCAGGGAAUGCCUUGUGACUUAGCAGAACAGCUGCAGGGGCUGUGGUGUCUGGGGCCACCUGCUCGUGCCCUGUCCCAGCAGCUUUGACAAGAACUGUUUUUAGAAGAGCUUGCUCAUGGAAGGUUUGGGGCCCAUUUCCAGACCUCUGCUUUAAAUGGGUGCCAGGCUUAUUUUGCCAGUAAUCUGGCAUGUUUGUGGGCUCAGGGGCAGGACACAAAGCUUUUGCUCUAAGAUCCAGCUUUUCGACCGGAUUCCUCAUGGUGGCCGUGCCUUCAGCAUCCGUACCAGCAGAAACUUCAUCAGUCCCUUCCAGUCAGCGGAACCUACCUGGAGUUCAAGGCUGCUGUGGUUCCCAGCGUGGGAGGUGGCCCCGCAGCACCAGGCAGGGCUCCUCGAUGUUCCCGAGCUCACCCAGCUGAUGUCCUGCCUGCCGGGAUGGACACGAGGAAUUACUCCCUCAGUGGAAGAGGCUGAGAGCUCGUGAGCCCCUCUCCGUGAAGGGAAUCAGUUUGCUGAAGGCUGAAAUCAUGAGGAAAGUGGGAAGUGGAUUGGGUAAGUGGCUUUGUGAGCGAUCAGAUGUUUGGUGGUUUUGAGGGGNGGGGAUCUCAGCAGUGCUUGCCGGGGGCAGCUCAGCCUGUGCUGGAGGUGGCAGCCUGCUGGGGCUCUGCAGGUGGGAACAGUCAAAUUAAUUAGUGCAGCCCGUAAUUGGGUGGCCUGAUACCUUCAGGGCAGAGUCCCUGUGGGAUGAGCUCGGCCUGGUCAGUGAUGAUGCCUUUGUUGGGAGACUGCUGGAUGAGUCCUGCGGAUAUGGGGCUGAGGCCAGGCUCCAGCAGGAGCUGACCCCCUGUGCGCUGUGUCAGGCUGAGCUUCCUUCUGACCGGGCUUUUUCUUCCCUCCGCAGGUUUUUUUGGAGCCGAGCGAGGUUUCGGUGUCUCAGACUUCAGCAUCCUGCUCCUGAAGCUGCUGCAGUUGUGUGUGAUGGGAUCCCAGCUCCUCAGUGAGCCGUGAGCUCCCCCAGCUGGGGCAGCUGCUGCCCUGCACCCGGCGCUGAGCACUGCAGGCCGUGGGAACCUUGUGGGUUCCAUUGCUGCUGAAGCUGCUGUUCGUGUGCUCCCUGUGGAAGAACGAUCCCUUCCAGGGAGUUUUUGCAGAAAAAGAUCUCUGGGGGGAGGGUCUGGAAUAUUUGAAAUACGUAAAAUAAGUGAGUAGUUUAGACUGUGUGGAAUACUGGGAGGUGAUUAAAGGUGGUCACCCAAAGCUCCUGCUGUGUCUGUG